CUUCUCCUGCGUACCUGACCACGGGGAGCUCUGCAAAUACGGCCCUUCUUCAUCUCGUUGGUGGAACACCUUCCUCGUCACCCUCUUCAACAGUAUGCCUCCCUUCUCCUUUGUCUUCCUCGUGAACCCUAGGGUUUAGGGAAGAACACAGUCAUCUAGAAGAAGUCAAGAUUCGCCUGUGAAGAACGCAAGGAGCGGCAGAAAUUGAACCUCCUCUAUCUCUGAAACCGUACGAAUCCUUCCCCAUCUUCAUCUUGUGAACCCGAGAUUGGUCGAUCUACUUUCAUCUCGUGAACCCAUACGGAAGAUUCGCUUCAUUCUUGUAGAGAUUCGUACGGUUUCAGAGACGUCUCACCUCCAGAGAUAAAAGCGAGGUUUUCCCCUCAAAUCUGAAGAGUAUACCAUUCUGAGGACUCUGUUUGAAGGUUUGACUACUCCUUCCACAACCGUUCACUCAUAGGAGAGCUCGAGAUAUGAGAUCUCCAAGAUCCCCAACCCCCAAAAGUACUACUAUAAUCUGGAAUGAAGCAGAGCUAAGAUCAUCCAUCAAUCUCAUAGUUGAUAAUGUCCGAAACGGAUUGAAGACAAACUCAAUAUUCACAAAGGUUGGUUGGGACAACAUUACAAAAGGGCUUGAAGCCGAAUUCAAAAGGUCCUUUGCAAAAGUACAACUGCGUAACAAGAUGAAUAAGUUAUGUAAGGAGUACAACAGCUUCAGGGCUUUGCUAGAAACAACUGGUUUCGGAUGGGAUGCGAAUGCUCGGACUACCACAGUUGAUGAUUCAGUAUAGGAAUCUGCUAUUCAGGGAAACAAGGAUUGGGCAAAGUAUAGAAGAAAUGGUCUCCCCUUGUGGCCAGAGUUGUUAGAGAUCUUCUCCAACUCUAGUGCCUGUGGGGAUAGAGGUUUGUCACAGGCAACAAUUGUAACUCCAACGUCAACUAACCUUGAAAUUGAUGAUGAUUUACAUGACACUGAUAAUGAUGACAUUGAUGCUUGUACUGGGACACCCAAGGGGUCAGCUCCUCCGAAGCGGCGACUUGAUAGGACUCCUACGAAUCGUAGGAGGAAGAGCCACACAUGGACACUCACGAACUCCACUGAGGAUUUCAAAACCUUUGUCUGAUGGAGGAUGGAAAAGGGAUCAACCUCUGCCACCUCAGCAGUUACCCGACCACCUGACCCUAUUGUUGACGGACCAUAUAGCAUAAUGAGCUGUUAGAAGCUACUGGACAGUUUGGAGGAUAUCCCGACGGAUUUGUAUAUGUUGGCGCAGCGUAAGAUACACAGUGACCCUGGAUGGCGCAUGUCUUUUAUUGAAGUGAGACUUGACAGGAGGUUAUGGAUGCUACAUGGUCUGAAGGAGUGAAAGUAACAGUUUCUGAUAUGAAUGAACAUAAAUCUUUUGUUUGGAUUUUAUAUGCCUCAUACUGACUGACACACUUAUGUCUUUUAGCAUACUAUGGAUGAUGUUGAUGUUUGAAUUAUGUUGCUUUGUUUUAUUU
Molecule: long non-coding RNA, 1503 nt
Organism: Macadamia integrifolia
Lineage: Eukaryota; Viridiplantae; Streptophyta; Magnoliopsida; Proteales; Proteaceae
Exons: 3
Source: RefSeq, a predicted model, not a curated record